ACUCCUCGGGAGGCAGCAGUGGGGAAUAUUGCACGAAAUGGGCGCAAGCCUGAUGCAGCCAUGCCGCGUGUAUGAAGAAGGCCUUCGGGUUGUAAAGUACUUUCAGCAGUGAGGAAGGUGGGUAUGUUAAUAGCAUAUUCAUUUGACGUUAGCUGCAGAAGAAGCACCGGCUAACUCCGUGCCAGCAGCCGCGGUAAUACGGAGGGUGCGAGCGUUAAUCGGAAUUACUGGGCGUAAAGCGCAUGCAGGUGGUUGUUAAGUCAGAUGUGAAAGCCCGGGGCUCAACCUCGGAAUUGCAUUUGAAACUGGGCAAACUAGAGUACUGUAGAGGGGGGUAGAAUUUCAGGUGUAGCGGUGAAAUGCGUAGAGAUCUGAAGGAAUACCGGUGGCGAAGGCGGCCCCCUGGACAGAUACUGACACUCAGAUGCGAAAGCGUGGGGAGCAAACAGGAUUAGAUACCCUGGUAGACUCAGC
This 474-nucleotide ribosomal RNA is filed under the name uncultured bacterium. RNAcentral's name for it is "bacterial SSU rRNA". It matches the Rfam family "Bacterial small subunit ribosomal RNA", at positions 335 to 800 of the family's 1533-position model. The record is from RNAcentral.